RNAcentral lists this ribosomal RNA (254 nucleotides) under uncultured bacterium. RNAcentral describes it as "partial 16S ribosomal RNA". It matches the Rfam family "Bacterial small subunit ribosomal RNA", at positions 524 to 776 of the family's 1533-position model. The record is from RNAcentral.
UACAGAGGAGCCAAGCGUUGUCCGCAGUUACUGGGCGUAAAGCGCGCGUAGGCGGUCCUUUAAGUCUGAGGUGAAAGGUUCAGCGCUCAACGUGAACAGUGCCUUGGAGACUGGGGGACUUGAGUGUGGGAGAGGGCAGUGGAAUUCCUGGUGUAGCGGUGAAAUGCGUAGAUAUCGGGAGGAACACCUGUGGCGAAAGCGGCUCACUGGACCACAACUGACGCUGAGGCGCGAAAGCUAGGGGAGCAAACAGG